CCUACGGGUGGCAGCAGUGAGGAAUAUUGGUCAAUGGGCGUAAGCCUGAACCAGCCAAGCCGCGUGAGGGAUGAAGGUACAAUGGAUCGUAAACCUCUUUUAUAAGGGAAUAAAGUGCGGGACGUGUCCCGUGUUGUAUGUACCUUAUGAAUAAGGAUAGGCUAACUCCGUGCCAGCAGCCGCGGUAAUACGGAGGAUCCGAGCGUUAUCCGGAUUUAUUGGGUUUAAAGGGUGCGUAGGCGGCCUUUUAAGUCAGCGGUGAAAGUCUGUGGCUCAACCCUAGACUUGCCGUUGAAACUGGUAGGCUUGAGUUUGUUUGAGGCAGGCGGAAUGCGUGUUGUAGCGGUGACAUGCUUAGAUAUCACGCAGAACCCCGAUUGCGCAGGCAGCCUGCCAGGCCAUGACUGACGCUGAUGCACGAAAGCGUGGGGAUCAAACAGGAUUAGAUACCCCUGUAGUC
RNAcentral lists this ribosomal RNA (460 nucleotides) under uncultured bacterium. RNAcentral describes it as "partial 16S ribosomal RNA". It matches the Rfam family "Bacterial small subunit ribosomal RNA", at positions 338 to 795 of the family's 1533-position model. The record is from RNAcentral.